ACGGGAGGCAGCAGUGGGGAAUUUUGGACAAUGGGGGCAACCCUGAUCCAGCCAUGCCGCGUGAGUGAAGAAGGCCUUCGGGUUGUAAAGCUCUUUCGGCCGGAACGAAAUCGCGUACGUGAAUAACGUGCGUGGAUGACGGUACUGGAAGAAGAAGCACCGGCUAACUACGUGCCAGCAGCCGCGGUAAUACGUAGGGUGCGAGCGUUAAUCGGAAUUACUGGGCGUAAAGCGUGCGCAGGCGGUUCUGCAAGUCAGAUGUGAAAUCCCCGGGCUUAACCUGGGAACUGCGUUUGAAACUACGGAGCUAGAGUACGGCAGAGGGGGGUGGAAUUCCACGUGUAACAGUGAAAUGCGUAGAUAUGUGGAGGAACACCGAUGGCGAAGGCAGCCCCCUGGGCCGAUACUGACGCUCAGGCACGAAAGCGUGGGGAGCAAACAGGAUUAGAUACCCUGGUAGUCCACGCCCUAAACUAUGUCAACUAGUUGUCGGGGAAGCAAUUCCUUGGUAACGAAGCUAACGCGUGAAGUUGACCGCCUGGGGAGUACGGUCGCAAGAUUAAAACUCAAA
This 571-nucleotide ribosomal RNA is filed under the name uncultured bacterium. Its description in RNAcentral is "bacterial SSU rRNA". It matches the Rfam family "Bacterial small subunit ribosomal RNA", at positions 341 to 905 of the family's 1533-position model. The record is from RNAcentral.